Molecule: ribosomal RNA, 497 nt
Filed under: uncultured bacterium
Lineage: Bacteria
Description: partial 16S ribosomal RNA
Rfam family: Bacterial small subunit ribosomal RNA
Source: RNAcentral
GAUGAACGCUGGCGGCGUGCCUAAUACAUGCAAGUCGAGCGAACAGAUGAGGAGCUUGCUCCUCUGACGUUAGCGGCGGACGGGUGAGUAACACGUGGAUAACCUACCUAUAAGGCUGGGAUAACUUCGGGAAACCGGAGCUAAUACCGGAUAAUAUAUUGAACCGCAUGGUUCAAUAGUGAAAGACGGUUUUGCUGUCACUUAUAGAUGGAUCCGCGCCGCAUUAGCUAGUUGGUAAGGUAACGGCUUACCAAGGCAACGAUGCGUAGCCGACCUGAGAGGGUGAUCGGACAGACUGGCACUGAGAAACGGUCCAGACUCUGACAGGAGGCAGCAGCAGGGACUCUUCCGCAAUGGGCGAAAGCCUGACGGAGCACCGCCGCGUGAGUGCUGAAGGUCUUAUGAUCGUAAAACUAUGUUAUCCGGGAAGAACAAAUGUGUAAGUACCUAUGCACAUCAUGACGGUACCUAAUCAGAAAGCCACGGCUAACUCCGUG